UACGUAGGGUGCGAGCGUUAAUCGGAAUUACUGGGCGUAAAGCGUGCGCAGGCGGUUUUGUAAGCCAGAUGUGAAAUCCCCGGGCUCAACCUGGGAAUGGCAUUUGGGACUGCAAGGCUCGAGUGCGGCAGAGGAGACUGGAAUUCCUGGUGUAGCAGUGAAAUGCGUAGAUAUCAGGAGGAAUACCGAUGGCGAAGGCAGGUCUCUGGGCUGACACUGACGCUCAUGCACGAAAGCGUGGGGAGCAAAAGGG
Molecule: ribosomal RNA, 253 nt
Filed under: uncultured bacterium
Lineage: Bacteria
Description: partial 16S ribosomal RNA
Rfam family: Bacterial small subunit ribosomal RNA
Source: RNAcentral